Loxodonta africana (African savanna elephant) is the source of this 57-nucleotide transfer RNA. It matches the Rfam family "tRNA", at positions 8 to 63 of the family's 71-position model. Rfam says of the family: Transfer RNA (tRNA) molecules are approximately 80 nucleotides in length. Their secondary structure includes four short double-helical elements and three loops (D, anti-codon, and T loops). The record is from Rfam. Lineage: Eukaryota; Metazoa; Chordata; Mammalia; Proboscidea; Elephantidae.
UGGCAUAGUGGUAAAGUGCAUGGCUGCUAACCAAAAGGUCGGCAGUUCAAAUCUGCC